CGAGGCAAUUCAAAAAGAGUUUUCAAUUUUGUCUCCGUUGCUCUCCUUUCUUUCUUACAACCUAUCUUAGUUUUAGGACAAGGCUUUGGGAUUUAAGAUAAAGCCAUAUCUGGUCCUAACAAGGGUUGUGAGAGUCCUAAAGAAGGAGGAUCAGAAGUUUAGAAGAGGUUCUGAGAGGGUAGAGUUAGUUUCUUAGAGAAAUCUGAUCGGUAUGAGGCU
This 219-nucleotide long non-coding RNA is filed under the name Elaeis guineensis (African oil palm). RNAcentral's name for it is "long non-coding RNA (EGUI_LNC054976)". The record is from RNAcentral. Lineage: Eukaryota; Viridiplantae; Streptophyta; Magnoliopsida; Arecales; Arecaceae.